Non-coding RNA from Lingula anatina, 73 nucleotides. The record is from Rfam. Lineage: Eukaryota; Metazoa; Brachiopoda; Lingulata; Lingulida; Lingulidae.
GGCCGGAUAGCUCAGGCGGUAGAGCACUCGCCCUGUUAGCAAGAGGUCCCGGGUUCGAUUCCUGGUCUGGUCG